This 274-nucleotide ribosomal RNA is filed under the name uncultured bacterium. Its description in RNAcentral is "partial 16S ribosomal RNA". It matches the Rfam family "Bacterial small subunit ribosomal RNA", at positions 523 to 796 of the family's 1533-position model. The record is from RNAcentral.
AUACUAAGGGUGCAAGCGUUAAUCGGAAUUACUGGGCGUAAAGCGCCCGUAGGCGGCUUGUUAAGUCGGAUGUGAAAUCCCCGGGCUCAACCUGGGAACUGCAUUCGAUACUGGCAAGCUAGAGUAUAGUAGAGGCAAGUGGAAUUCCGGGUGUAGCGGUGAAAUGCGUAGAUAUCCGGAGGAACAUCAGUGGCGAAGGCGACUUGCUGGACUAAUACUGACGCUGAGGAGCGAAAGCGUGGGGAGCAAACGGGAUUAGAAACCCCAGUAGUCC